Molecule: ribosomal RNA, 468 nt
Filed under: uncultured bacterium
Lineage: Bacteria
Description: partial 16S ribosomal RNA
Rfam family: Bacterial small subunit ribosomal RNA
Source: RNAcentral
GACGAACGCUGGCGGCGUGCUUAACACGUGCAAGUCGAACGGAAAGGCCCUGCUUUUGUGGGGUGCUCGAGUGGCGAACGGGUGAGUAACACGUGAGUAACCUGCCCUUGACUUUGGGAUAACUUCAGGAAACUGGGGCUAAUACCGGAUAGGAGCUCCUGCUGCAUGGUGGGGGUUGGAAAGUUUCGGCGGUUGGGGAUGGACUCGCGGCUUAUCAGCUUGUUGGUGGGGUAGUGGCUUACCAAGGCUUUGACGGGUAGCCGGCCUGGGAGGGUGACCGGCCACAUUGGGACUGAGAUACGACCCAGACUCCAACGGGAGGCAACAGUGGAGAGUAUUACACAAUGGGCGGGAGCCUGAUGCGACAACGCCGCGUGCGGGAAGACAGCCUUCGGGUUGUGAACCGCAUUCGCCUGUGACGAAGCGUGAGUGACGGUAAUGGGAGAAGAAGCACCGGCUAACUACGUG